Molecule: long non-coding RNA, 2021 nt
Filed under: Homo sapiens (human)
Lineage: Eukaryota; Metazoa; Chordata; Mammalia; Primates; Hominidae
Description: long non-coding RNA NONHSAT200802.1
Source: RNAcentral
CCGGCCAACACUUAGAGAAAUAGAAAAGAACCUAUGUGAAAUAUCGGGGGCUGGUUUCCCCUGAUAGUGAAGGAGACAGGUUAGAUACACUGGAGCUUCCACACAGGAGAGAGGGAAGGAGCUGGAGAAGAACUGCUUGGGUACUGCCAUGGAUAGCGCAUGUGUUGGCUUUGUCCAGCUUUGGGCUUUUUCCCACAUUGAUUUUAAAAAGACAGGAGCCACAGAUUUUGGAGUACUGCAAAAUGACUUUCCAAAUUGAUGAACCAUGGACUCCAAGCUGGAUAGACACAGAAAUGAAAAGAAGGGACUAAUAGGGAAUAAGACGUGUGAUCCAUGGCCCGAUGGCCCUGAUGGACGUGAAGAUCCACUGUUGUGGGAGGAGUGGAACACUAACACUGAAUGAUGGAGGCUGUGGUCAGAAACAUUGAAUUGGAGGGGCACACAUUUGGUCAUGAAAAUGGUGGGACUAAGAAGAAUGAAGUGGCAUGCAAGAGACCAUUAUAGAAAUGAUGUGGAACUCAGGGUGAGGAUGUUGGGUGUGUGCUCUUCUGUAUGGACAUUGACUUUAUGCUAAAAUGAGAUUCACUAUGUGGGAACAGUAAUAAAAUAAUGAGAUAAGGUGACAUAACUUAGUUGUGUUUACAAACUUUUGAUUUUAUGGAUUUGAAAAAAAUCCAUCAUUCAUUUUUGCCAGAUUUUUUAAAGCUAUCACCCAUUAUUCAUAACAAGAAAGACAUUUUAACUCCCACCUCCUCAUUUCCCUCUCAACCCCAAAAUAAGUAGGGACAUAAUCCCAGAUUAAAGGAUAAUACUUCCAAGGAAAGGCUUGAUUCCUCAGGAUCUAACAUUUUGCAAGUUGAAACCGCAUUCGGGAAGCAAUACUCUAAUCCACUAAAAUAAAAUUUCACUUAACACUUGAAAUAAACUUGAACUCAAAAAAUUUCUCUCCUUGGUGAGACUCAGGCAGUGAGAAGCAGCUGUGACUAGAAAUGGCACUGAUCUGUCCGUUAGAAACUUUUUAAUAAAACAUGCUUGUUGUGCCCUUGAUUUGUCUGAAUUUCAGUUGAUCCAGAGCAAGAAAAGUAGCUGAAUAUAACUGGCCAGUGCAGAAGAGCCUAUGAAGGUGGAAAAUGGAGGAAGGAGGACCCCAUGCUGGAGAAGUGAUGGAGAUUUGAAGCCUUGGAAGAUGGCGGCAAGGGAGAUGCCAGAGAUGAGACAAUGUUAAACAUCUGUAAUCUAACAGUCUUCUAUGGGAGUUUAUUACAUUUCCAUAUCCUAUGUUCACUUCUAGUGAAAAAUAAAAAUAAAAUCUUAAGCCCCCCACAGCUGACUAAAUGGAUCCCAUUGUGAAAGGAAAAUAUCUUGAGCCUCCAAAAUCACUAAGGAAAAUUCAAGCUGGAAACUUCUUAGGACAAACCUGCCUCCCAUUCUCUUCAAAGUUAUUCCUCUGCUCGAGGAGCUAGAUGCAUAUCUGAUUGCCGCCUUUGGAAAGGCUAACCAGAAACUCAAAAGGGAUUAGCAACCCACUCUCCACCAAAUUUCAAGUCACUAGGGGCAUUAUGCUAUGUCCCAGGAGUGGCCAAGGCUUCAAGGACCAAUGAUAGACCUGCUGCUCUAACCUAGGCCUGCUGAGGAGUACAAUUCAACCUGUGUUUCUGUGUGGUUCAGCAAUCUUGCUGAGCUCCUCUAAGUCAGUCCAUCCUGCCACAGCUGGGAAGAAUCAAGAAACUCUCCAAGAAGACGUUUAUUGGUUGAUAAAAAUCUGUUUAUCUGCCUGUUGCCAAUGAGAAGACAGGUCUGCUGACCAUGGCAGGCAUGGCAGCACGUGACACCGUGUUUGCUGCUCACUGCAUGUUCCACCUGAACUUUCCCGUCCGGUCAAUGAGUCUUGACAGUGGGGUGAAGGGGACUCACUCUCAAAGACCAAGGCUGACCCGCUUUGAGUACAAUGCCUUGACCUAGUUACUGUCACUGUGGUUUUGUCUUCAGGAACUAAAAGGUACAAUAAAAACUUGUUCAUU